RNAcentral lists this ribosomal RNA (248 nucleotides) under uncultured Oscillospiraceae bacterium. RNAcentral describes it as "partial 16S ribosomal RNA". It matches the Rfam family "Bacterial small subunit ribosomal RNA", at positions 524 to 771 of the family's 1533-position model. The record is from RNAcentral. Lineage: Bacteria; Bacillati; Bacillota; Clostridia; Eubacteriales; Oscillospiraceae.
UACGUAGGUGGCAAGCGUUGUCCGGAUUUACUGGGUGUAAAGGGAGCGUAGACGGCAAGGCAAGUCUGGAGUGAAAGCCCGGGGCUUAACCCCGGGAGUGCAUUGGAAACUGCGCAGCUGGAGUGCAGGAGAGGUAAGCGGAAUUCCUAGUGUAGCGGUGAAAUGCGUAGAUAUUAGGAGGAACACCAGUGGCGAAGGCGGCCUGCUGGACUGUAACUGACGUUGAGGCUCGAAAGCGUGGGGAGCAA